This 149-nucleotide ribosomal RNA is filed under the name uncultured archaeon. Its description in RNAcentral is "partial 16S ribosomal RNA". It matches the Rfam family "Archaeal small subunit ribosomal RNA", at positions 325 to 473 of the family's 1478-position model. The record is from RNAcentral.
ACGGGGUGCAGCAGGCGCGAAACCUUUACAAUGCACGAAAGUGUGGUAGGGGGAUACUCAGUGCUUACGCUUGUGGUGUAGGCUUUUGUUGAUCGUAAAUAGAUCAGCGAAUAAGUGGUGUGUAAGACUGGUGCCAGCAGCCGCGGUAA